CCUACGGGUGGCAGCAGUGAGGAAUAUUGGUCAAUGGGCGGUAGCCUGAACCAGCCAAGCAGCGUGAAGGAUGACGGCCCUAUGGGUUGUAAACUUCUUUUAUACGGGAAUAAAGUUUAUUACGUAUACUGCUUUGCAUGUACCUUACGAAUAAGGAUCGGCUAACUCCGUGCCAGCAGCCGCGGUAAUACGGAGGAUUCGAGCGUUAUCCGGAUUUAUUGGGUUUAAAGGGAGCGUAGGCUGGCUGAUAAGUUAGUGGUGAAAGUUCGCGGCUUAACCCCAGGCGUGCAGUUGAUACUGGCAGACUAGAGUGCGGUAGAAGUAGGCGGAAUUCGUGGUGUAGCGGUGAAAUGCUUAGAUAUCACGCAGAACUCCGAUUGCGCAGGCAGCCUGCUGAUCUGUAUCUGACGCUGAUGCACGAAAGUGUGGGUAGCGAACAGGAUUAGAUACCCUAGUAGUC
RNAcentral lists this ribosomal RNA (460 nucleotides) under uncultured bacterium. Its description in RNAcentral is "partial 16S ribosomal RNA". It matches the Rfam family "Bacterial small subunit ribosomal RNA", at positions 338 to 795 of the family's 1533-position model. The record is from RNAcentral.